Unclassified non-coding RNA from Dasypus novemcinctus (nine-banded armadillo), 101 nucleotides. The record is from Ensembl. NCBI's taxonomy places the organism in Eukaryota, Metazoa, Chordata, Mammalia, Cingulata, Dasypodidae.
UCCACGCCCUCCCCCCCACCCCCCACCCCCCCGUCAAGCCUUUGGCAUCAUUAUCCUCAUCACUAAAUCCUACUGAGUACAGGGCGGAAAACGGUGCACAC